GUAGGGUGAACCUGGCGGAAGGGAUCAUUUUACCGAAGUGGAGGGGCCCUUUGGGUCCAACCUCCCACCCGUGUUUAUUUACCUCGUUGCUUCGGCGGGCCCGCCUUAACUGGCCGCCGGGGGGCUCACGCCCCCGGGCCCGCGCCCGCCGAAGACACCCCCGAACUCUGCCUGAAGAUUGUCGUCUGAGUGAAAAUAUAAAUUAUUUAAAACUUUCAACAACGGAUCUCUUGGUUCCGGCAUCGAUGAAGAACGCAGCGAAAUGCGAUACGUAAUGUGAAUUGCAAAUUCAGUGAAUCAUCGAGUCUUUGAACGCACAUUGCGCCCCCUGGUAUUCCGGGGGGCAUGCCUGUCCGAGCGUCAUUGCUGCCCUCAAGCCCGGCUUGUGUGUUGGGCCCCGUCCUCCGAUUCCGGGGGACGGGCCCGAAAGGCAGCGGCGGCACCGCGUCCGGUCCUCGAGCGUAUGGGGCUUUGUCACCCGCUCUGUAGGCCCGGCCGGCGCUUGCCGAUCAACCCAAAUUUUUAUCCAGGUUGACCUCGGAUCAGGUAGGGAUACCCGCUGAACUUAAGCAUACUA
RNAcentral lists this ribosomal RNA (577 nucleotides) under Penicillium expansum. RNAcentral's name for it is "eukaryotic LSU rRNA". The stretch from base 211 to 363 matches the Rfam family "5.8S ribosomal RNA". The record is from RNAcentral. Lineage: Eukaryota; Fungi; Ascomycota; Eurotiomycetes; Eurotiales; Aspergillaceae.